RNAcentral lists this long non-coding RNA (943 nucleotides) under Mytilus galloprovincialis (Mediterranean mussel). Lineage: Eukaryota; Metazoa; Mollusca; Bivalvia; Mytilida; Mytilidae. The record is from RNAcentral.
CACCCCGUAUAACCACGAUACAGAUAAAUCCGGACGUUGACGCGUUCGAAGCGAUAAUCAGGACAACAAUUGAUGACAACAACUUUGAAUGACUCUCUAGAACUUAUUUGAGGUUAUAUCUAUAUGUCAAUGUACAUGUUUGUUUAUUUAUUCAAUUAUAUGAUGGCUAAUAAACAACUAUCCACCAAAGUUUAAAUGAAGUGGUUGAGAGCAAUUAGUCCAAAGUACGGCAUUCAACAAGGACAGUUUUGCUAAUUGCUGUAAGCUUUACGGUGACCUAACGUUGUUAAUUUAUGUGUCAUUUGGUCUUUUGUGGAGAUUUUUUUCAUUAGUAAUCAUACCUUUUUUUUUCUUUUUUUUCUUUUUUUAUUUAUACCAUAUAUUCGGCUAUAAAAGCAAUCAUACCACAUCUUCUCUUUUACCUAUACUGUAUAGUCGGCUAUACAAGGCCCCAAUAUUAAAACAAAUGUGAAAAUUUAAAACUAGAAAACUAAUAGCCUAAUGAAUAAUGUGAUCAUUUUCAUAAAUUUCCUGAUACAAAACUUUGAAUUUUUCGAAAAACUAAGGAUUUUCUUGUCCCUGGAAUAGAUUACCUUAGCCGUAUUUAGCACAACUUUUUGGAAUUUUGGAUCCUCUAUGCUCUUCAACUUUGUAUUGUUUGGCUUUAUAACUAUUUUGAUAUGAGCGUCACUGAUGAGUCUUAUGUAGACGAAAUGCGCGUCUGGGGUACUAAAUUAUAAUCCUGGUACUUUUGAUAACUAUUUACACCCCUGGGUCGAUGCCACUGCUGGUGGACGUUUCGUCCCCGAGGGUAUCACCAGCCCAGUAGUCAGCACUUCGGUGUUGACAUGAAUAUCAAUAAUGUGAUCAUUUUCAUAAAUUUCCUGAUACAAAACUUUGAAUUUUUCGAAAAACUAAGGAUUUUCUUGUCCCUGGAAUAGAU